GACGAGGUGCACAAACGUUAUUCGGAUUUACUGGGCUUAAAGCGUGCGUAGGCGGCCUGGCAAGUUGGGUGUGAAAUCCCUCGGCUCAACCGAGGAAUUGCGCCCAAAACUGCUGGGCUGGAGUGAGACAGAGGUGAGCGGAACUGAUGGUGGAGCGGUGAAAUGCGUUGAUAUCAUCAGGAACACCGGUGGCGAAGGCGGCUCACUGGGUCUCUACUGACGCUGAGGCACGAAAGCUAGGGGAGCAAACGGG
This 253-nucleotide ribosomal RNA is filed under the name uncultured bacterium. RNAcentral describes it as "partial 16S ribosomal RNA". It matches the Rfam family "Bacterial small subunit ribosomal RNA", at positions 524 to 776 of the family's 1533-position model. The record is from RNAcentral.